UGGAUUUGGAGUCUGGGGUUGGAGGAUGAGUGAUUGAAAAAAUCACAUGACUGGUAACCUUGUUAUUCUGCAAAACAACUUCAAAAAUUCUAUCACUUUAUAUUCUAGUGUUUGGAAGCCUGAGGAUACAAUGAUGUAUAAGGUUAAUAGUCCCAGAAUACAGCUUACGAUCUAGUGGUGAAAAAUUCUUAUGUUGAUCACUUCUACAUAAUCAAACCCACUGAAUUGUUGAGAAGAUGCUGGAUGGUGGAGUCAAUCUCUUCAUCUUGCUAGCAACCUCAGUCUCUAGUGCUAUUUUCUUCAUUGUAGUCCUCUUCUUCCAUGAGACUUUUUGACCUAAUGAAGCCCACAGUAGAUCGUUCUUCAGGAAUUUUAAGGCUCACUUGUCUAUUUUCUUGAAGAGGGUCUAGUAUGCUAAAUAUUGUUACUGAUGAAGUGAGAAAAUAGUUUAAUUGAGUUCACAGUCAUGGGAUCAGUCAGAAGCUAGAGUUAAGGGGCCUGAAGACUGACAGCAUUGGCUGGGAUCUGAGAAAAUCAUGACAGGAAUUCCAAUAGCAGUCAUUUCACUGCUGGCUUAAUGCAGAUGAAAGAGUUCUGUUCCUAAGGAUCCCUCUCCUUUUUUAGACAUUUAAAGAUGCUUAUGUCUCAAUAGAUUAUCACUUUUUUUUGAAGCAAUACUGUCUGUAUGUUAUAUACUAAAGAUGUAUUUGGUGGUUUGAACUGAGGUUUGGAUGGGAAGGGAACAAUUGAUAAUACAUGAUUGUUCUGGUUGUGCACUGUACAAGUCCAAGGGAUGCCAUUUACUUUGAAAUCACUGCAAUGAUAUGUUCUCAUGUCAGGAUUUAUUUUGCAAGUCCUUUAAUUAGAUGACUGAUCCCCUGGGGCUAGGUAGUUGGCUAAUGAGGGUUUCCAAGCAGAAUUCCUAGACUGUUCCUUGUGGAUUCC
Molecule: long non-coding RNA, 945 nt
Filed under: Marmota monax (woodchuck)
Lineage: Eukaryota; Metazoa; Chordata; Mammalia; Rodentia; Sciuridae
Source: RNAcentral